This 495-nucleotide ribosomal RNA is filed under the name uncultured bacterium. RNAcentral's name for it is "partial 16S ribosomal RNA". The stretch from base 20 to 341 matches the Rfam family "Bacterial small subunit ribosomal RNA", at positions 47 to 358 of the family's 1533-position model. The record is from RNAcentral.
GACGAACGCUGGCGGCGUGCUUAACACAUGCAGGUCGAACGGUGAAGCGCCUUCCUUUUUGGUGGGUGUGGAUGAGUGGCGAACGGGUGAGUAACACGUGAGUAACCUGCCCCCUUCUUCUGGAUAACCGCAUGAAAGUGUGGCUAAUACGGGAUAUUCUGGGUCUGUCGCAUGAUGGGUCUGGGAAAGAUAUUGUUUCGGUGGGGGAUGGGCUCGCGGCCUAUCAGCUUGUUGGUGGGGUGAUGGCCUACCAAGGCGGUGACGGGUAGCCGGCCUGAGAGGGGGGGCGGGCACCGGGGGGGAAGGGAGCGGCCCCGGCGUGUGGGGGGGGCCGGGGUGGGGAAUGUUGGAAAGGGGGGGGAGGGCUUGUGGCGGCGCCCGCGGGGGGGGAGGGGGGCCCUCGGGGUGGGGACCCUUUUCGGCAGGUGAAGCAGGCGCGCCUGUUUGGUGGGGGGUUGGAGGGUGGGUGAUAAAGAGGCGCCGCCAACUUCGGGC